GAUGAACGCUGGCGGCGUGCCUAAUACAUGCAAGUCGUACGGAAAGGCCCUUCGGGGUACUCGAGUGGCGGACGGCUGAGUAACGCGUGGGAACGUGCCCCAAAGUGAGGGAUAACGCACCGAAAGGUGUGCUAAUACCGCAUAUGGUCUUCGGAUUAAAGCUUCGGCGCUUUGGGAGCGGCCCGCGUACGAUUAGAUAGUUGGUGAGGUAAUGGCUCACCAAGUCGACGUUCGUUAGCUGGUCUGAGAGGAUGAUCAGCCAGACUGGGACUGAGACACGGCCCAGACUCCUACGGGAGGCAGCUGUAAGGAAUCUUCCACAAUGGGGGCAACCCUGAUGGAGCAACGCCGCGUGCAGGAUGAAGGUUUUCGGAUCGUAAACUGCUUUUAUAAGUGAAGAAUAUGACGGUAACUUAUGAAUAAGGAUCGGCUAACUACGUGCCAGCCGCCGCCGUAA
This 457-nucleotide ribosomal RNA is filed under the name uncultured bacterium. RNAcentral's name for it is "partial 16S ribosomal RNA". It matches the Rfam family "Bacterial small subunit ribosomal RNA", at positions 28 to 523 of the family's 1533-position model. The record is from RNAcentral.